AUACGUAGGGUGCGAGCGUUGUCCGGAAUUACUGGGCGUAAAGAGCUCGUAGGUGGUUUGUCGCGUCGUCUGUGAAAUUCCGGGGCUUAACUCCGGGCGUGCAGGCGAUACGGGCAUAACUUGAGUACUGUAGGGGAGACUGGAAUUCCUGGUGUAGCGGUGAAAUGCGCAGAUAUCAGGAGGAACACCGGUGGAGAAGGCGGGUCUCUGGGCAGUAACUGACGCUGAGGAGCGAAAGCAUGGGUAGCGAACAGGAUUAGAUACCCUGGUAGUCCAUGCCGUAAACGGUGGGCGCUAGGUGUAGGGGUCUUCCACGACUUCUGUGCCGUAGCUAACGCAUUAAGCGCCCCGCCUGGGGAGUACGGCCGCAAGGCUAAAACUCAAAUGAAUUGACGGGG
This 398-nucleotide ribosomal RNA is filed under the name uncultured bacterium. Its description in RNAcentral is "partial 16S ribosomal RNA". It matches the Rfam family "Bacterial small subunit ribosomal RNA", at positions 523 to 918 of the family's 1533-position model. The record is from RNAcentral.